RNAcentral lists this ribosomal RNA (253 nucleotides) under uncultured bacterium. RNAcentral's name for it is "partial 16S ribosomal RNA". It matches the Rfam family "Bacterial small subunit ribosomal RNA", at positions 524 to 776 of the family's 1533-position model. The record is from RNAcentral.
UACGGGGGGUGCGAGCGUUGUCCGGAAUCACUGGGCGUAAAGGGCGCGUAGGUGGCUUUGUAAGUUUGCGGUGAAAGCCCGGGGCUCAACCCCGGGUCUGCCGUGGAUACUGCAAGGCUUGAGUACUGUAGAGGCAGGUAGAAUAUCGGGUGUAGCGGUGGAAUGCGUAGAGAUCCGAUAGAGGACCGGUGGCGAAGGCGGCCUGCUGGGCAGUAACUGACACUGAGGCGCGACAGCGUGGGGAGCAAACAGG